ACGUAUCUCUGACGGCGAGGGCGAGCCCCGCUCCGGACCGAAAGGCCCGUCGAGCGGGCGACCCCGAGUCGCUCAACCUUUGCAAACCCACCGUGCACUCUUGUCGGCGGUAGGGGCUUCGCGGCCCCGACGCCGGUUCACAAACACCGAAACUUUGAAGAAUGUCUAGCGGACUCUGUUCCGCCUAAAUAUUUAA
Molecule: unclassified non-coding RNA, 196 nt
Filed under: uncultured Trechispora
Lineage: Eukaryota; Fungi; Basidiomycota; Agaricomycetes; Polyporales; Polyporaceae
Description: sequence contains ITS1
Source: RNAcentral